This 539-nucleotide ribosomal RNA is filed under the name Escherichia coli. RNAcentral describes it as "partial 23S ribosomal RNA". It matches the Rfam family "Bacterial large subunit ribosomal RNA", at positions 323 to 867 of the family's 2925-position model. Lineage: Bacteria; Pseudomonadati; Pseudomonadota; Gammaproteobacteria; Enterobacterales; Enterobacteriaceae. The record is from RNAcentral.
UGUGUGUUAGUGGAAGCGUCUGGAAAGGCGCGCGAUACAGGGUGACAGCCCCGUACACAAAAAUGCACAUAUUGUGAGCUCGAUGAGUAGGGCGGGACACGUGGUAUCCUGUCUGAAUAUGGGGGGACCAUCCUCCAAGGCUAAAUACUCCUGACUGACCGAUAGUGAACCAGUACCGUGAGGGAAAGGCGAAAAGAACCCCGGCGAGGGGAGUGAAAAAGAACCUGAAACCGUGUACGUACAAGCAGUGGGAGCACGCUUAGGCGUGUGACUGCGUACCUUUUGUAUAAUGGGUCAGCGACUUAUAUUCUGUAGCAAGGUUAACCGAAUAGGGGAGCCGAAGGGAAACCGAGUCUUAACUGGGCGUUAAGUUGCAGGGUAUAGACCCGAAACCCGGUGAUCUAGCCAUGGGCAGGUUGAAGGUUGGGUAACACUAACUGGAGGACCGAACCGACUAAUGUUGAAAAAUUAGCGGAUGACUUGUGGCUGGGGGUGAAAGGCCAAUCAAACCGGGAGAUAGCUGGUUCUCCCCGAAAGCU